GACGAACCGUGCGAACGUUAUUCGGAAUCACUGGGCUUAAAGCGCGUGUAGGCGGAUGGGGACGUCGGUCGCUGAAAGCCCCCGGCUCAACCGGGGAAUGGGCGCCGAAACGCCCCGUCUGGAGGGACGUAGGGGGACCUGGAACUUCCGGUGGAGCGGUGAAAUGCGUUGAGAUCGGAAGGAACGCCCGUGGCGAAAGCGAGGUCCUGGACGUCAUCUGACGCUGAGACGCGAAAGCUAGGGGAGCGAACAGG
This 254-nucleotide ribosomal RNA is filed under the name uncultured bacterium. RNAcentral describes it as "partial 16S ribosomal RNA". It matches the Rfam family "Bacterial small subunit ribosomal RNA", at positions 524 to 776 of the family's 1533-position model. The record is from RNAcentral.